CAUCUUCAAGGAGCUGUCCCAGAUUGAAGCCUGUCAGGUCCAAUGCAAAUGAGGCUGAUUCCCACUCUGGUCAGCAUAAUGUAGGCCCCCGCAGAAAAGAUCCCUGCAGGGCUCUGUGCGACAGCCAUUGAUAUCCUGACUACAGUAGUACAAAAUACAAAGCCUCCCCUUUCACAGCUUCUCAUCUGCCAAGCUUUCCCUGCUGUGGCACAGUGUACCCUUCACACAGAUGACAAUGCCACCAUGCAGAAUGGCGGAGAGUGCUUGUGGGCCUAUGUGUCAGUGACCCUGGAACAAGUUGCCCAGUGGCAUGAUGAGCAGGGCCACAAUGGACUGUGAUAUGUGAUGCAAGUGGUGAGCCAGCUCCUGGAUCCCCAUACCUCAGAGUUCACUGCAGCCUUUGUGGGCCACCUUGUUUCCACCCUCAACUCCAAGGCAGGGCGGGAGCUGGGGGAGAAUCUAGACCAGAUUCUUCAUGCCAUCCUCAGUAAGAUGCAACAGGCAGAGACUCUCAGUGUCAUGCAGUCUCUGAUCAUGGUGUUCACUCAUCUGGUGCACACUCAGCUAGAACCUCUCUUGGAGUUCCUGUGUAGCCUCCCAGGACCUACUGGCAAACCUGCCCUAGAGUUUGUGAUGGCUGAGUGGACGAGCCGACAGCACCUGUUCUAUGGACAGUAUGAAGGCAAAGUCAGCUCUGUAGAACUCUGUAAGCUGCUCCAGCAUGGCAUCAAUGCAGAUGACAAAUGGCUACAGGAUAUUCAUGUGAAGGGAGAGGAGAUCUACAGCAUGGAUGAGGGCAUCCGCACCCACUCUAAGUCAGCCAAAAACCCAGAACGCUGGACAAACAUUCCUUUGCUGGUCAAGAUCCUAAAGCUGAUCAUUAAUGAGCUCUCCAACGUCAUGGAGGCUAAUGCUGCUCGCCAGGCCACUCCUGCAGAGUGGAGUCAAGAUGACCAGGAGGAGAAAGAGGAGGAGGAGGACCAGGAGGAGGAAGAGGAGGAGGAGGAAGAUGGUUUAGCUGGCCAACUUUUAUCUGACACUCUUGCUACAAGUAAAUAUGAGGAGGAUUACUACGAGGAUGAUGAGGAAGAUGACCCUGAUGCCCUGAAGGAUCCUCUCUAUCAGAUUGAUCUGCAGGCAUAUCUGACAGAUUUCCUCUGCCAGUUUGCUCAGCAGCCCUGCUACAUAAUGUUUUCGGGCCACCUUAAUGACAACAGGAGGUGAGUUCUACAAACCAUCAGCAUCUAAAAAGGGGAGCCUUUCUACAUUUGCUCCUUCUGACCCAGCCACAAACCAUUUUACAGCCCUCAGUGGCCUUAAGAUGUACUUUUUUCCUCAACCUAAAGUGGCAUCUUGACCUUUGGCCCUUGGCCUUAGCGGUGACACUGAUGACAACUCAGACCAGGCUCACCAGUGCCAGUCACUUAGGAAUGCUGGAACAAAGGACAUUUUUCAAAGUUCCCGUCAAGACAUCCCAUCUCUGGAACCUUUUUCUCCCCAACUCUGCCCCAACCACUGUUCCUAGAGCCCUCUGCUGGCCAGUCCAGAAACGUUAUUGCCCAGAAGAAUUAUGUGUUCAUGGAUUAUUUUGCCCUGCCUCAGGAACACAGGAAGUCACUACCAUUUAUAUUCUUAAACAGACCUAUCUACGUUCAUAGGACUUCUGAUGUGUUCAGAUAGGAAUCCUCAAGAGAGAUCAUUAUGCUUUCUGCCCUGGACCACUGCUGCUCUGGGUUCUCAGGAGGAACACGCAGGAGCAGCUUCAUUCUGAGCCUUUCCAGUGACCUCUGCCUUGCUUCCCUUCUACAACACUAAGGCUCCUCUGUCAGAGGAGGUCGUCUUGUUUUUGCCUCAUUGUAUGACAUAACCUUUCCCCUUAAGCUGUUCCUAUAUAUACAUGCACACACAAAAUAA
Molecule: RNA transcript, 1914 nt
Organism: Sapajus apella (tufted capuchin)
Lineage: Eukaryota; Metazoa; Chordata; Mammalia; Primates; Cebidae
Gene name: importin-9 pseudogene
Exons: 1
Source: RefSeq, a predicted model, not a curated record